CACAAGCGGUGGAGCAUGUAGGUUUAAUUCGAUGAGUACGCGAGGAACCUUACCUGGGCUCAAAUGUAUGUUGACGUAUUCUGAAAGGGAUACUUCUUCGGACAAUAUACAAGGUGCUGCAUGGUUGUCGUCAGCUCGUGCCGUGAGGUGUCGGGUUAAGUCCCAUAACGAGCGCAACCCCUAUCAUUAGUUGCCAUCAGGUCAAGCUGGGGACUCUAAUGAAACUGCCUACGCAAGUAGUGAGGAAGGUGGGGAUGACGUCAAAUCAGCACGGCCCUUACGUCCAGGGCUACACACGUGCUACAAUGGCCGGUACAAAGGGCAGCUACCUGGUGACAGGAUGCUAAUCUCAAAAGCCGGUCUCAGUUCGGAUCGGAGUCUGCAACCCGACUCCGUGAGGCUGGAAUCGCUAGUAAUCGCGCAUCAGCCAUGGCGCGGUGAAUACGUUCCCGGGCCUU
This 458-nucleotide ribosomal RNA is filed under the name uncultured Sphingobacteriales bacterium. RNAcentral describes it as "bacterial SSU rRNA". It matches the Rfam family "Bacterial small subunit ribosomal RNA", at positions 924 to 1382 of the family's 1533-position model. The record is from RNAcentral. Lineage: Bacteria; Pseudomonadati; Bacteroidota; Sphingobacteriia; Sphingobacteriales.